UUUCCGUAGGUGAACCUGCGGAAGGAUCAUUACUGACUAAACGAGGUGCGAGGUCUGUCGCUCACCCGAAAGGUCGUACACGCUCGCUUGUUUGCACACACCUCCAUCUAUCCCCUAUGUCCACCUCCGCGUGUGUCCCCCUGUGGCUAGACCGGAGGGGGGCUUACGUUUACAGACAAUCUUUGUAAGCAGUGUAGUAUUUAUUGUUUGUUUUUGCAAUCACGUGAUCAAUACAACUUUCAACAACGGAUCUCUUGGCUCUC
RNAcentral lists this unclassified non-coding RNA (263 nucleotides) under plant metagenome. RNAcentral describes it as "partial contains small subunit ribosomal RNA, internal transcribed spacer 1, and 5.8S ribosomal RNA". The record is from RNAcentral.